This 814-nucleotide ribosomal RNA is filed under the name uncultured bacterium. Its description in RNAcentral is "bacterial SSU rRNA". It matches the Rfam family "Bacterial small subunit ribosomal RNA", at positions 676 to 1502 of the family's 1533-position model. The record is from RNAcentral.
UAGCGGUGAAAUGCUUAGAUAUCACGAAGAACUCCGAUUGCGAAGGCAGCUCACUGGACUGCAACUGACACUGAUGCUCGAAAGUGUGGGUAUCAAACAGGAUUAGAUACCCUGGUAGUCCACACAGUAAACGAUGAAUACUCGCUGUUUGCGAUAUACAGUAAGCGGCCAAGCGAAAGCAUUAAGUAUUCCACCUGGGGAGUACGCCGGCAACGGUGAAACUCAAAGGAAUUGACGGGGGCCCGCACAAGCGGAGGAACAUGUGGUUUAAUUCGAUGAUACGCGAGGAACCUUACCCGGGCUUAAAUUGCAGUGGAAUGAUGUGGAAACAUGUCAGUGAGCAAUCACCGCUGUGAAGGUGCUGCAUGGUUGUCGUCAGCUCGUGCCGUGAGGUGUCGGCUUAAGUGCCAUAACGAGCGCAACCCUUAUCUUCAGUUACUAACAGGUCAUGCUGAGGACUCUGGAGAGACUGCCGUCGUAAGAUGUGAGGAAGGUGGGGAUGACGUCAAAUCAGCACGGCCCUUACGUCCGGGGCUACACACGUGUUACAAUGGGGGGUACAGAAGGCAGCUAGCGGGUGACCGUAUGCUAAUCCCAAAAUCCUCUCUCAGUUCGGAUCGAAGUCUGCAACCCGACUUCGUGAAGCUGGAUUCGCUAGUAAUCGCGCAUCAGCCACGGCGCGGUGAAUACGUUCCCGGGCCUUGUACACACCGCCCGUCAAGCCAUGGGAGCCGGGGGUACCUGAAGUACGUAACCGCAAGGAUCGUCCUAGGGUAAAACUGGUGACUGGGGCUAAGUCGUAACAAGGUAACCA